AAAAGACUUUUUAUCUAAAGGGAGAAUGAGGAAAGAAGAGAACUUUUAUGAGGAGUGUGAGCCUUUCCAAAUUCUCAGGCCCAGAGAGGCAUUACAUUGUGACAGCAACCACAUUCUGCUUCCUUUUUGUACAAUACUGUAUUUGAAAAACAAAAAAAAAAACCUACGAGACUCAUGAAAUUGGACAACAUUCUUUAUAACACUACUACUGGUAAAACCAGCAAGGAUGGCUGGUUUGCAGUCAUCUGAGCAGCCUCUCUAGUUUCAUAGAUGUGAUUUCUCUCUGAUAGUCAAAGGCUUCCAAUUUUAAGCAAAAUGCUACUUCACAAAGAUAAACAGCUUUGAAAGGAAACGGUUUUCUUUGUAAUCCUAAACGUUCUAGUCUGCGAAUUAAAAGCCACUAUUUGAAGACCGGCGCACAGCUUCCAGCUGGCCGCCAGAAGGGUCCUCCGCAGGACACAGGUUAAGUAGUCGCUUCUUUGGGGGAUACUAGAUGCGGGGUCUGGGCGCACCUCCGGAAAGGACAAGGGCGGGAGGGAGAGGUGGGACAGCAGACGUCACUUCCUCCGUCGGCUCCCCCAGCGGGUUGGUAGGCUGAGUGGCGGAGGGUGGGGCGGAAGAGCAGAAGGAGACUGGGAAAGGCACUGUCGGUGACAUCACCGAUAGGGCGUUUCUAUGUAGAUGAGGCAGCGCAGGGGCUGCUGCUUCGCCACGAAGGAUUUCCCGUGCCGUGGGAGCGGGUUCAGGACCGCUGGUCGGACCUGAGAGUCCCAGCUGUGGGAAGCUCAGCUGUGUAAUUUGUAGUAACGAAGCAGAAGUUACAACGAAAAGACAAGUUUUCCUGUGCUUGGCAGGGCCCCCCUCCCCCCCACCAAGGCCUGCAGUGGAUAGAGCCUAGCAGAUCCUGGACAAUACUAUCCUAAAAGCUACAUCUCUGACAGUGAUUUCCAGCGACUUUGUCAACACGGUCCGCCCCCAGCAAGUAUAAGAGGAAAAACAACAAAUGUCUUUACUGCCUUGUCUUUCCCCCUUGCCACUUGUCAUUAUUCAAGUUUUGUAAGUUCCUGAUUUCCAUUCAGUGCAGCUGCAAGGUUACCAGCUGUGCUUGCGUUGCAAGACCUGUCACAGUUUGAUUAACUGCCUUCUUUCUGCUUCUGUAAGCCCUCUUGCCUGCCCCGCGAGUUUCACACCAUCAAAUUCCUGCUGCACCAUUCAAACUAGCCAACCCCCUUUCAGAAGUGUGUAUAAAAGUCAAGCCCCCUGUCUUUCUUCGGGGCUCAUGCUAGGCCCGAGUGCAUUCAAUAAAAUCCUUCUGUUCCA
Molecule: long non-coding RNA, 1320 nt
Organism: Homo sapiens (human)
Lineage: Eukaryota; Metazoa; Chordata; Mammalia; Primates; Hominidae
Exons: 2
Source: RefSeq, a predicted model, not a curated record